CCUACGGGUGGCAGCAGUGAGGAAUAUUGGUCAAUGGACGCAAGUCUGAACCAGCCAAGUAGCGUGCAGGAUGACGGCCCUCCGGGUUGUAAACUGCUUUUAGUUGGGAAUAAAAGGGGGCUCGUGAGCCCCGUAUUGUAUGUACCAUAUGAAUAAGGAUCGGCUAACUCCGUGCCAGCAGCCGCGGUAAUACGGAGGAUCCGAGCGUUAUCCGGAUUUAUUGGGUUUAAAGGGAGCGUAGGUGGAUUGUUAAGUCAGUUGUGAAAGGUUGCGGCUCAACCGUAAAAUUGCAGUUGAUACUGGCAGUCUAGAGUACAGUAGAGGUGGGCGGAAUGCGUGGUGUAGCGGUGAAAUGCUUAGAUAUCACGAAGAACUCCGAUUGCGAAGGCAGCUCACUGGACUGCAACUGACACUGAUGCUCGAAAGUGUGGGUAGCAAACAGGAUUAGAUACCCGUGUAGUC
RNAcentral lists this ribosomal RNA (462 nucleotides) under uncultured bacterium. RNAcentral's name for it is "partial 16S ribosomal RNA". It matches the Rfam family "Bacterial small subunit ribosomal RNA", at positions 338 to 795 of the family's 1533-position model. The record is from RNAcentral.